UACGUAGGGUGCGAGCGUUGUCCGGAAUUACUGGGCGUAAAGCGUGCGCAGGCGGUUUUGCAAGCCGGAUGUGAAAUCCCCGGGCUUAACCUGGGAAUGGCAUUUGGGACUGCAAGGCUGGAGUGCGGCAGAGGAGACUGGAAUUCCUGGUGUAGCAGUGAAAUGCGUAGAUAUCAGGAGGAACACCGAUGGCGAAGGCAGGUCUCUGGGCUGACACUGACGCUCAUGCACGAAAGCGUGGGGAGCAAACAGG
RNAcentral lists this ribosomal RNA (253 nucleotides) under uncultured bacterium. RNAcentral describes it as "partial 16S ribosomal RNA". It matches the Rfam family "Bacterial small subunit ribosomal RNA", at positions 524 to 776 of the family's 1533-position model. The record is from RNAcentral.